AGCCUCCAGCUCUGAGAUAACAGCAAAAAUGGUGGUGGAGAAGAAGAGCUCUUCAAGCAGAGUGAGAGUAAGACACAUGGGUCCAGCCUUAAUUCUGGUGCCCUCAGACUUCAACUGGUUGCAUCACACAAGGAUUUUGGAUGAGUAUCAGUAGCGCAAGAUAGAACAGUUUCAAGGCAUGUUCAGUUGCAUGGCAAGAAACUCUAUUUUGUGUCUUUUCUUAAGCACAUACAAAAUGUUUCCUCAGUAUUUUACUUGAACAUUUGUUUUAAUAGAUAUGUUUGAAGCUAUGUGUAAAAACAAGUAGAAAAUUAUUCCUUAUUCCUGCCAAUACAAUAACAAAAAUAAAGAAAUGAGCCAAGCCUGGUAUUGGAAGCAAAAU
Long non-coding RNA from Pogoniulus pusillus (Red-fronted tinkerbird), 382 nucleotides. RefSeq lists it as uncharacterized. Lineage: Eukaryota; Metazoa; Chordata; Aves; Piciformes; Lybiidae. The record is from RefSeq and is a predicted model, not a curated record. The transcript has 2 exons.